GAGAGUAAGCAAGGCACGCAGGGGCAUAAGUGGUAUAGGAAGCGAUCGGUGAGGAAAGGAAAGGAAGCAGAAUGAAGAAGAGCGAGGCGUUGACGGUGGCAGUCAACGUGAUGUGUUUAGUUAUGAUUUGCGCUGCGGUCGAGAUCGAGUCCCCACAGUACACAAUCGUACACUCCGAAUCCGAUUUCGAGGUGAGGCUCUACCGAAGCUCCGUGUGGAUGUCCGCUCCCGCUCUCGACAUUUCCUUCGAGAAAGCCACCUGGAACGGCUUCCACAGGUUGUUCCAGUUCACCGAAGGCGCCAACCUCAAUUUCUCCCGAAUCCCAAUGACCCUUCCCGUCCUCACCACCACCGUCCCCGCCGCCGGUCCCCUUCAAUCCCAAGGCUAUUACGUUAGUCUCUACUUACCCGUUAAGUUCCAGGCCACUCCACCGCUGCCGCUCCCCCAACUCAACAUCAAACCCUAUGAGUUCAGCAGCCACUGCGUCGCCGUCAGAAUGUUCUCUGGAUUCGCCAAGGAUGAGAGGGUUGUCAAAGAGGCCCAAAAGCUCGCCACCACUCUAAGUAGCUCUCCCUGGGCUCACUCCCAGACUCGCCCUGGCUACUCCAUUGCGCAGUACAAUACUCCCUUCCGAAUUGUCAAACGCAAAAAUGAAGUGUGGGUGGACAUUGAUGCUCCUGAAUUGGGAUGUAAGUCAGUUGGUGUUGCCACGUAUUGAUUGAAGGAGGAUGGAUAUCAGAAUGCUUCGCUACUUGUAUCUAGUGCAACAAGGUUCCUAUCAACCAUCACAGAAACACAGCCCAUAACAUAACAAUCUUCCCUCUGUGUUCUUGUGGCUGUCCGAGAGCUAGGGUUGUCUGAUAGUCAGCUCUACCAUAAAGAACAAGUCAAGCUUAUCUAUAUCCUAAUCUUAAUCAUCAGAGGGACAGUUUUGGAGAACGGAUGAGAAGCUGAAAGCAACUUCAUAUAGCCAUCAAACCAAACUACUGAUUUCUUACCUAGUUCAGUGAUUGAUUAGUGAUGACUUCAUCUACCAUUUGCUGUGCUGAAAUUGAUGUUGUAAUUUUGAAUUAACAAGUAUGAACUAGCUUGGCAAUUUAUGACACUGGAAUUGCUCAAGUUCGAAGCAGCAGCAACAUUAGCUCUUUGCAUUGUUCCUAAUCAAAACUACCCUACUCAUUUUGUAGUUGAAAGCCACUCAACCAUAAGCUUCUUCCAUCGCAUUCAAAUGUCUUAUCUAGCUCUUACUAAACAUGAAGAAAUGUCAUCCACUCAUACAAAUUCACCGGUGUCCCCGUGCUUCCAUGAUGACACAUGGAGUGUAAGAUGACCUUUCCUUUUAUUGUGACUUGAGGUUAAUGCACAAUAUUCUAUUUCAAAAUAAAUUAUACUUUUAAGUUUA
This is an RNA transcript of Cajanus cajan (pigeon pea), 1403 nucleotides long. RefSeq lists it as uncharacterized. The record is from RefSeq and is a predicted model, not a curated record. Lineage: Eukaryota; Viridiplantae; Streptophyta; Magnoliopsida; Fabales; Fabaceae.